Molecule: non-coding RNA, 910 nt
Filed under: Parapercis tetracantha
Lineage: Eukaryota; Metazoa; Chordata; Actinopteri; Uranoscopiformes; Pinguipedidae
Description: partial 12S rRNA
Rfam family: Bacterial small subunit ribosomal RNA
Source: RNAcentral
AUCCCAGUGAGAAUGCCCCCCCCCACCCUUCCUCUUCCUCGAAAAUAAGGAGCUGGCAUCAGGCACCCAUUACGAUUGAGCCCACAACGCCUUGCUUAGCCACGCCCCCAAGGGAUUUCAGCAGUGAAAAACAUUAUGCAAUAAGCGAAAGCUUGACCUAGUCAUAGCUACAUUAAGGGCCGGUCAACUCUCGUGCCAGCCACCGCGGUUAGACGUGAGGCCCAAGCAGAUGAGCUUACGGCGUAAAGUGUGGCCAAGGAACCUAUUUAAAUUAAAGCUAAACGCCCUCAAUGCUGUAAUACGUUGUCGAGGUCAAAGAAGGACAACCACGAAAGUAACUUUAUUUUUUCCCCACCCACUAAAGCUCUGGCACAAACUGGGAUUAGAGACCCCACUAUGCCUAGCCUUAAACGUUGAUAGUAACUUACAGAUGCUACCCGCCUGGGAACUACGAGCGCAAGCUUAAAACCCAAAGGACCUGGCGGUGCUUUACAUCCAUCUAGAGGAGCCUGUCCUAGAACCGAUAAUCCUCGUUUAACCUCACCCCUCCUAGUUUUAACUUUUCAGCCUAUAUACCGCCGUCGUAAGCUUACCCUGUGAAGGCCCAAUAGUAAGCCCAAUCAAAUACUAUUCUAAACGUCAGGUCGAGGUGUAGCCUAUGAAGGGGGAAGAGAUGGGCUACAUUCACUAAAUUUAGUGUAUACGAACGACUAUAUUGAAACGUAUGUCCAAAGGAGGAUUUAGAAGUAAGCUGAGAAAUAGAGCGUCCAGCUGAAUUUUGGCUCUGAAGCACGUACACACCGCCCGUCACUCUCCCCAAAAAUAAUUAUAUCUUAAUUAAAACACUGCCUUAAAUAAAGGGGAGGCAAGUCGUAACAAGGUAAGUGUACCGGAAGGUGCACUUGGAAGA